This 402-nucleotide ribosomal RNA is filed under the name uncultured bacterium. RNAcentral's name for it is "bacterial SSU rRNA". It matches the Rfam family "Bacterial small subunit ribosomal RNA", at positions 355 to 774 of the family's 1533-position model. The record is from RNAcentral.
UGGGGAAUAUUGCACAAUGGGCGAAAGCCUGAUGCAGCAACGCCGCGUGAGUGAUGAAGGCCUUCGGGUUGUAAAGCUCUGUCUUCUGGGACGAUAAUGACGGUACCAGAGGAGGAAGCCACGGCUAACUACGUGCCAGCAGCCGCGGUAAUACGUAGGGGGCAAGCGUUGUCCGGAUUUACUGGGUGUAAAGGGUGCUCAGGCGGAUUUGUAAGUCAGAGGUGAAAUCUUACAGCUUAACUGUGAAACUGCCUUUGAUACUGCAAGCCUAGAGUAUGGAAGAGAGUGAUGGAAUAUCUGGUGUAGCAGUGAAAUGCGUAGAUAUCAGAUAGAACACCAAUGGCGAAGGCAGUCACUUGGUCCAUUACUGACGCUAAAGCACGAAAGCGUGGGUAGCAAACA